This 510-nucleotide ribosomal RNA is filed under the name uncultured bacterium. RNAcentral describes it as "partial 16S ribosomal RNA". It matches the Rfam family "Bacterial small subunit ribosomal RNA", at positions 28 to 507 of the family's 1533-position model. The record is from RNAcentral.
GACGAACGCUGGCGGCGUGCUUAACACAUGCAAGCCGAACGAAGAGCGAUGGAAGCUUGCUUCUAUCAAUCUUAGUGGCGAACGGGUGAGUAACGCGUAAUCAACCUGCCCUUCAGAGGGGGACAACAGUUGGAAACGACUGCUAAUACCGCAUACGAUCUAAACUCGGCAUCGAGGAUAGAUGAAAGGUGGCCUCUACAUGUAAGCUAUCACUGAAGGAGGGGAUUGCGUCUGAUUAGCUAGUUGGAGGGGUAACGGCCCACCAAGGCGAUGAUCAGUAGCCGGUCUGAGAGGAUGAACGGCCACAUUGGGACUGAGACACGGCCCAGACUCCUACGGGAGGCAGCAGUGGGGAAUCUUCCGCAAUGGACGAAAGUCUGACGGAGCAACGCCGCGUGAGUGAUGACGGCCUUCGGGUUGUAAAGCUCUGUUAAUCGGGACGAAAGGCCUUCUUGCGAAUAGUGAGAAGGAUUGACGGUACCGGAAUAGAAAGCCACGGCUAACUACGUG